UAAUUUAUGUAUGUUUCUCUGUCCUGAUAGGAUGGUUGGAAAUUUGUUUGAAGCUUCCUUCUGGAAUUUGAAGAGUCAGUUCAUUUUGAUGACACUGAAGGACUUCCUUCACCGUUUAGUGAGUCUCUUGAGUGUCAACUCUUUCAUCCUGCUGCUGCUGCUGCUGCUGCGUCGCUUCAGUCGCGUCCGACUCUGUGCGACCCCAUAGACGGCAGCCCACCAGGCUCCCCUCU
Molecule: long non-coding RNA, 233 nt
Filed under: Capra hircus (goat)
Lineage: Eukaryota; Metazoa; Chordata; Mammalia; Artiodactyla; Bovidae
Description: lncRNA (ENSCHIG00000005041.1)
Source: RNAcentral